Molecule: ribosomal RNA, 259 nt
Filed under: uncultured prokaryote
Description: partial 16S ribosomal RNA
Rfam family: Bacterial small subunit ribosomal RNA
Source: RNAcentral
CGUAGGUGGCGAGCGUUGUCCGGAUUUACUGGGCGUAAAGGGAGCGUAGGCGGACUUUCAAGUGAGAUGUGAAAUACCCGGGCUCAACUUGGGUGCUGCAUUUCAAACUGGAAGUCUAGAGUGCAGGAGAGGAGAAUGGAAUUCCUAGUGUAGCGGUGAAAUGCGUAGAGAUUAGGAAGAACACCAGUGGCGAAGGCGAUUCUCUGGACUGUAACUGACGCUGAGGCUCGAAAGCGUGGGGAGCAAACAGGAUUAGAUA